Molecule: small RNA, 27 nt
Filed under: Bombyx mori (domestic silkworm)
Lineage: Eukaryota; Metazoa; Arthropoda; Insecta; Lepidoptera; Bombycidae
Description: ovarian small RNA-24904
Source: RNAcentral
UCAAUUAAGUAAUAACAGCUUUUGGGA